Molecule: ribosomal RNA, 589 nt
Filed under: Cryptococcus sp. CBS 10178
Lineage: Eukaryota; Fungi; Basidiomycota; Tremellomycetes; Tremellales; Cryptococcaceae
Description: eukaryotic LSU rRNA
Rfam family: Eukaryotic large subunit ribosomal RNA
Source: RNAcentral
GGAUUCCCCUAGUAACGGCGAGUGAAGCGGGAAGAGCUCAAAUUUGAAAUCUGGUGGCCUCAGGUCAUCCGAGUUGUAAUCUAUAGAAGUGUUUUCCGUGCUGGCUCAUGUACAAGUCCCUUGGAACAGGGCGUCAUAGAGGGUGAGAAUCCCGUCCUUGACAUGAACUACCAGUGCUCUGUGAUACAUUUUCAACGAGUCGAGUUGUUUGGGAAUGCAGCUCAAAAUGGGUGGUAAAUUCCAUCUAAAGCUAAAUAUUGGCGAGAGACCGAUAGCGAACAAGUACCGUGAGGGAAAGAUGAAAAGCACUUUGGAAAGAGAGUUAAACAGUAUGUGAAAUUGUUGAAAGGGAAACGAUUGAAGUCAGUCGUGCUCUUUGGAUUCAGCCGGUUCUGCCGGUGUACUUCCUUUGAGUGGGGUCAACAUCAGUUUUGAUCGCUGGAUAAAGGCGGGAGGAAUGUAGUACCCUCGGGUAAACUUAUAGCCUCUUGUCACAUACAGUGGUUGGGACUGAGGAACGCAGCAUGCCUUUAAGGCCGGGAUUCGUCCACGUACAUGCUUAGGAUGUUGACAUAAUGGCUUUAAACGA